Molecule: ribosomal RNA, 921 nt
Filed under: uncultured archaeon
Lineage: Archaea
Description: bacterial SSU rRNA
Rfam family: Archaeal small subunit ribosomal RNA
Source: RNAcentral
UUCCGGUUGAUCCUGCCGGAGGUUACUGCUAUCGGAGUUCGAUUAAGCCAUGCGAGUCUAAAGGUUUCUUCGGAAACCUUGGCGGACUGCUCAGUAACACGUGGAUAACCUACCCUUGGGACUGGAAUAACCCCGGGAAACUGGGGAUAAUACCGGAUAGAUCAGGGAUGCUGGAAUGCACCUUGAUCCAAAGCUCCGGCGCCCAAGGAUGGGUCUGCGGCCUAUCAGGUAGUAGUGGGUGUAACGUACCUACUAGCCAACGACGGGUACGGGUUGUGAGAGCAAGAGCCCGGAGAUGGAUUCUGAGACACGAAUCCAGGCCCUACGGGGUGCAGCAGGCGCGAAACCUUUACAAUGUGCGAAAGCAUGAUAAGGGAACUCCGAGUGCCAGCAUCUAAUGUUGGCUGUCCUUGUGCCUAAAACGCACAAGAUAGCAAGGGCCGGGUAAGACCGGUGCCAGCCGCCGCGGUAACACCGGCGGCCCGAGUGGUAGCCGCUAUUAUUGGGUCUAAAGGGUCCGUAGCCGGUUCGAUAAGUCCUCUGGGAAAUCUGGUUGCUUAACAAUCAGACUGCCAAGGGAUACUGUCGAACUUGAGACCGGGAGAGGUAAGAGGUACUUCAGGGGUAGGAGUGAAAUCUUGUAAUCCCUGGGGGACCAUCUGUGGCGAAGGCGUCUUACCAGAACGGGUCUGACGGUGAGGGACGAAAGCUGGGGGCGCAAACCGGAUUAGAUACCCGGGUAGUCCCAGCCGUAAACGAUGCUCGCUAUGUGUCAGGUACGGUGUGACCGUAUCUGGUGCCGUAGGGAAGCCGUGAAGCGAGCCACCUGGGAAGUACGGCCGCAAGGCUGAAACUUAAAGGAAUUGGCGGGGGAGCACUACAACGGGUGGAGCCUGCGGUUUAAUUGGAGUCAACGCCGGG